ACCAAGAGCAGAAUUCUAAAGAACUCCAACUAUUAAGAGUCAGGAUGUGAACAAGAACCAGGGAAGGAUGCUGAUAAGCAGAGAGGUGGAAGGAGAACCAGGAGAGAGAAGUGAUGCCCUGCUCCCCAACAGUGUCAAGUGGUAUGGGGUCAAUAGAGCCAAAAGAUGGGUAACAGAACGAGAAAUAAGAUAGCUCCUGGGCUUCGGUAAUAAGAGGGCCACUGGUGUCCUUGCUAGACAUGAAUUCACCAGGCUUCAGGGACAGAAGACAGGCAGCAGUGGGUUGAGGAGAGAAUGGAAACCAGGACAAUGAGUGUAAAUACUCAAGCCAAUGUGACAGGACACAAUCUUUUUACAAAAAACAAAAACAGAACAUAAGAAUUGUUUGCAGCUGGACACGGUGGCUACCGCCUGUCAUCCCAGCACUUUACAAGGCUGAAGUGGGAGGAUUAUUUGAGCUCAGGAGUUCAAGACCAACCUGGGAAACACAGUGAGACCCUGUCUCAACAACAACAAAAAAAGUAUUUUAUUUUAUUUAUUUAAUUUAUUUUUGAGACAGAGUUUUGCUCGGUCACCCAGGCUAGCGUGCAGUGGCACAAUCUCGGCUUACUGCAACAUCCGCCUCCUGGGUUCAAGCGAUUCUCCUGCCCAGCUUCUCAAGUAGCUGGGAUUACAGGCAUGCGCCACCACACCUGCCUAAUUUUUGUAUUUUUUGUUUGUUUGUUUUAAGUAGAGAUGGGGUUUCACCAUGUUGGCCAGGGUGGUCUAGAACUCCUGACCUCAAGUGAUCACCCACCUCCACCUCCCAAAGGGCUGGGAUUACAGGCAUGAGCCACCGCACCCGGCCUCAACAAAAAAUUU
RNAcentral lists this long non-coding RNA (861 nucleotides) under Homo sapiens (human). RNAcentral describes it as "HSALNT0245569". The record is from RNAcentral. Lineage: Eukaryota; Metazoa; Chordata; Mammalia; Primates; Hominidae.